UGCUCACCAUCUUCCGCGACGUGACCGAGGCGAUCGUCGUCGGCUUCGGUCUCGGCUCCGUCAUCUUCAUCCACCGGAUGUCGAAGACGACCGCGAUCGAGGCGGCCACCCCGUUUGUCGUCGAGGACAAAGCCGACCGCGCCAAUGGCGAUCGCACGCCGUACGACAAGGCGAUGGCGAACGAUCGCGACGUCCUCAUCUACCGCAUCUCCGGCGUGUUCUUUUUCGGUGCGGCCGCCUCGAUCGGAUCGGUGCUCGCUCGGAUCGGCGAGACGCGCAGCGACGUGAUCGUGGACCUCUCGGCGGUUCCGUUCAUCGAUUCGACUGCCGCCGAGAUCAUCAAGGGGCUGGCGCAGAAGGCCGCGCGGCGCGGCCUGAUCUUCACGCUCACCGGCACGAC
Molecule: unclassified non-coding RNA, 400 nt
Filed under: uncultured bacterium
Lineage: Bacteria
Description: contains 16S-23S intergenic spacer region
Source: RNAcentral